CCUACGGGGUGCAGCAGUGAGGAAUAUUGGUCAAUGGACGAGAGUCUGAACCAGCCAAGUAGCGUGAAGGAUGACUGCCCUAUGGGUUGUAAACUUCUUUUAUAUGGGAAUAAAAUGUUCCACGUGUGGGAUUUUGUAUGUACCAUAUGAAUAAGGAUCGGCUAACUCCGUGCCAGCAGCCGCGGUAAUACGGAGGAUCCGAGCGUUAUCCGGAUUUAUUGGGUUUAAAGGGAGCGUAGGUGGAUUGUUAAGUCAGUUGUGAAAGUUUGCGGCUCAACCGUAAAAUUGCAGUUGAAACUGGCAGUCUUGAGUACAGUAGAGGUGGGCGGAAUUCGUGGUGUAGCGGUGAAAUGCUUAGAUAUCACGAAGAACUCCGAUUGCGAAGGCAGUUCACUGGACUGCAACUGACACUGAGGCUCGAAAGUGUGGGUAUCAAACAGGAUUAGAUACCCGAUAGUC
RNAcentral lists this ribosomal RNA (459 nucleotides) under uncultured bacterium. RNAcentral's name for it is "partial 16S ribosomal RNA". It matches the Rfam family "Bacterial small subunit ribosomal RNA", at positions 338 to 795 of the family's 1533-position model. The record is from RNAcentral.